RNAcentral lists this ribosomal RNA (252 nucleotides) under Romboutsia timonensis. RNAcentral's name for it is "partial 16S ribosomal RNA". It matches the Rfam family "Bacterial small subunit ribosomal RNA", at positions 524 to 776 of the family's 1533-position model. The record is from RNAcentral. RNAcentral also lists the same sequence under 1 other name. Lineage: Bacteria; Bacillati; Bacillota; Clostridia; Peptostreptococcales; Peptostreptococcaceae.
UACGUAGGGGGCUAGCGUUAUCCGGAAUUACUGGGCGUAAAGGGUGCGUAGGUGGUUUCUUAAGUCAGAGGUGAAAGGCUACGGCUCAACCGUAGUAAGCCUUUGAAACUGGGAAACUUGAGUGCAGGAGAGGAGAGUGGAAUUCCUAGUGUAGCGGUGAAAUGCGUAGAUAUUAGGAGGAACACCAGUUGCGAAGGCGGUUCUCUGGACUGUAACUGACACUGAGGCACGAAAGCGUGGGGAGCAAACAGG